CCAACAGGUGAGGAUGACCGUGAGAUGCUGUUUAAAGCAAGUAUACAAGUACAUCAAACAUUUAAGUUGUCUGCUAAACCUGGUUAUUGAUAGUGAUUAGUUAGCGUUAAAGGUCAAAAUUAGCGCGGAGAGGAGAUAAAAUGCGGCAUAAAUGUAGGAAAAUGUCACAGUUUCCUGCUAAGGGCAUUUUUGUUUCACAUUUGACAUUUUGUUAGUUACGGAAGCCGAGAACGGUCGUGCUUGCAAUUAUUUGGCCGUUCUCAGCUUCCGUAGUUAAUUUUACGCUCCUGUUUUUUAGCCGUUAGAUACCACUGAUAGAAUUAGCCUAUAUGCUAAUGAUGCUAACAGGUGAACUUCGGGUGUUUUGCUAUGAUGAAUGCUCACAGUUCCGUAGAAAUUUCACAGUUGGCGCUUCAAAUUUAAGAUAAAGAUUUACGCGGUGAAAUACGAGAGGAAACUUGACUCAUAUUCACAAAAGAUUUUACAUGAGAGAGUGAAGAUCUGUUGACUCCGACACAAUUAUACGGAUGGAUAGUAGAAAAGUCAAAUGAGCGUCGAAACAGCGCCAACACCCCAUUGACUCCCAUAUUGUGGCCGAAGACGGUAUUGCAGCAAGCCUGAAGCUGAUGUCAUUCUUGAAGGCCAGGAAGUCAAAGAGGAGCUGCAAAACAUGACAGAUCAGACUUACAUGGAAGGCGGCUACAAAGAAAGUCAGAGCCAGGAAGUACAGGUUGGUAUCCACAAAGAUCCCUUUAAUCUCAUCAGCAU
Thunnus maccoyii (southern bluefin tuna) is the source of this 768-nucleotide long non-coding RNA. RefSeq lists it as uncharacterized. NCBI's taxonomy places the organism in Eukaryota, Metazoa, Chordata, Actinopteri, Scombriformes, Scombridae. The record is from RefSeq and is a predicted model, not a curated record. The transcript is spliced from 5 exons.